RNAcentral lists this ribosomal RNA (253 nucleotides) under uncultured bacterium. RNAcentral's name for it is "partial 16S ribosomal RNA". It matches the Rfam family "Bacterial small subunit ribosomal RNA", at positions 524 to 776 of the family's 1533-position model. The record is from RNAcentral.
CACGUAGGGCGCGAGCGUUGUCCGGAUUUAUUGGGCGUAAAGAGCUCGUAGGCGGCUUGUCGCGUCGGCUGUGAAAUCCCGAGGCUCAACCUCGGGUCUGCAGUCGAUACGGGCAAACUAGAGUAUUGCAGGGGAGACUGGAAUUCCUGGUGUAGCGGUGAAAUGCGCAGAUAUCAGGAGGAACACCGGUGGCGAAGGCGGGUCUCUGGGCAAUAACUGACGCUGAGGAGCGAAAGCGUGGGGAGCAAACAGG